Molecule: ribosomal RNA, 682 nt
Filed under: Mistharnophantia sp. JMU-2012
Lineage: Eukaryota; Metazoa; Arthropoda; Insecta; Hemiptera; Flatidae
Description: eukaryotic LSU rRNA
Rfam family: Eukaryotic large subunit ribosomal RNA
Source: RNAcentral
CAACUAGCCCUGAAAAUGGAUGGCGCUCUAGCGUCGUGCCUAUACCGGGCCGUCAACGGCAAAGCGGGCCGCUGCCCGGUCGGCCCCGGCCGGCCGGCUCGGCCGUCAAGCCUUGACGAGUAGGAGGCGCGCGGCGGUGUGCGCAGAAGGGUCUGGGCGCGAGCCCGCCUGGAGCCGCCGUCGGUGCAGAUCUUGGUGGUAGUAGCAAAUACUCUAGCGAGGGCCUGGAGGGCUGAUGUGGAGAAGGGUUUCUUGUGAACAGCCGUUGCACAAGAGUCAGUCGACCCUAAGCCCUAGGAGAAAUCCGAUGUCGAUGGGCAGCAAUCAGUGUGGUGUGGCAGGCGGCGGCCGUAAGAAAGCCGCUUCCGCUCGCUCGCCGAACGCUCCCGUCGGGCGAAAGGGAAUCCGGUUCCUAUUCCGGAACCCGGCCGCGGAACCGUCACUUCGCGGGCACUCGCCUGCGAGCGCUCGUCGGGGUAACCCAAAAUGACCCGUAGACGCCGGCGGGAGGUCUGGGAAGAGUUGUCUUUUCUUUAUAAGCGUUCGAGUUCCCUGGAAUCCUAUAGCAGGGAGAUAGGGUUUGGAACGCGAAGAGCACCGCAGUUGCGGCGGUGUCCGGACCUUCCCCCCGGACCUUGAAAAUACGGGUGAGGGCUACGCGGAAAUGUCGCGCCGGCUCGUA